This 1465-nucleotide ribosomal RNA is filed under the name uncultured bacterium. RNAcentral describes it as "bacterial SSU rRNA". It matches the Rfam family "Bacterial small subunit ribosomal RNA". The record is from RNAcentral.
AUUGAACGCUAGCGGCAUGCUUAACACAUGCAAGUCGAACGGUAACAGUACUAGCUUGCUAGUAGCUGACGAGUGGCGGACGGGUGAGUAACGCGUAGGAAUUUACCUUGUAGCGGGGGACAACUCGGGGAAACUCGGGCUAAUACCCCAUAAUCUCUACGGAGCAAAGAGGGCCUCUAUUUAUAUGCUUUCGCUAUUAGAUGGGCCCGCGUCGGAUUAGCUUGUUGGUAGGGUAAUGGCCUACCAAGGCGACGAUCCGUAGCUGGUCUGAGAGGACGAUCAGCCACACUGGGACUGAGACACGGCCCAGACUCCUACGGGAGGCAGCAGUGGGGAAUAUUGGACAAUGGGCGCAAGCCUGAUCCAGCAAUGCCGCGUGUGUGAAGAAGGCCUUCGGGUUGUAAAGCACUUUCAGUGGGGAAGAAAGGUUUACGGUUAAUACCCGUAAGCUUUGACGUUGCCCACAGAAGAAGCACUGGCUAACUCUGUGCCAGCAGCCGCGGUAAUACAGAGAGUGCGAGCGUUAAUCGGAAUUACUGGGCGUAAGGCGCACGUAGGUAGAUAUUUAAGUCGAAUGUGAAAGCCCUGGGCUUAACCUAGGAAUUGCAUCCGAUACUGGGUAACUAGAGUAUGGUAGAGGGAAGUGGAAUUUCCGGUGUAGCGGUGAAAUGCGUAGAUAUCGGAAGGAACACUAGUGGCGAAGGCGACUUCCUGGACCAAUACUGACACUGAGGUGCGAAAGCGUGGGGAGCAAGCAGGAUUAGAUACCCUGGUAGUCCACGCUGUCAACGAUGAGAACUAGACGUUGGAGGGGUAACCCGUCAGUGUCGAAGCUAACGCGUUAAGUUCUCCGCCUGGGGAGUACGGCCGCAAGGUUAAAACUCAAGGGAAUUGACGGGGGCCCGCACAAGCGGUGGAGCAUGUGGUUUAAUUCGAUGCAACGCGAAGAACCUUACCUACUCUUGACAUCCUCGGAAUCCUCUGGAGACAGAGGAGUGCCUUCGGGAAUCGAGUGACAGGUGCUGCAUGGCUGUCGUCGGCUCGUGUCGUGAGAUGUUGGGUUAAGUCCCGUAACGAGCGCAACCCUUACCCUUAGUUACCAGCGGUUCGGCCGGGAACUCUAAGGGGACUGCCGGUGAUAAACCGGAGGAAGGUGGGGACGACGUCAAGUCAUCAUGGCCCUUACGAGUAGGGCAACACACGUGCUACAAUGGACAGUACAGAGGGUCGCCAAACCGCGAGGUGGAGCUAAUCUCAGAAAGCUGUUCGUAGUCCGGAUUGGAGUCUGCAACUCGACUCCAUGAAGUUGGAAUCGCUAGUAAUCGCGAAUCAGAAUGUCGCGGUGAAUACGUUCCCGGGCCUUGUACACACCGCCCGUCACACCAUGGGAGUGGGUUGUACCAGAAGCGGGUAGGAUAACCUUUCGAGGAGUCCGCUCACCACGGUAUGAUUCAUGACUGGGGUA